RNAcentral lists this transfer RNA (96 nucleotides) under Actinocatenispora rupis. Its description in RNAcentral is "tRNA-Asp". The record is from RNAcentral. Lineage: Bacteria; Bacillati; Actinomycetota; Actinomycetes; Micromonosporales; Micromonosporaceae.
GCCGGAAUGUAGCCGGCGGGGCCGUGGGGCGCGGGUCAGGCGCCGAGCGACUUCGGGCCGAGGUAGCUGCCGCCGGUCGCGUCGAUGGUGUUGGCG